AGGGAAUCUUCCGCAAUGGACGAAAGUCUGACGGAGCAACGCCGCGUGAGUGAAGAAGGUCUUCGGAUCGUAAAACUCUGUUGUUAGGGAAGAACAAGUAUCGUUCGAAUAGGGCGGUACCUUGACGGUACCUAACCAGAAAGCCACGGCUAACUACGUGCCAGCAGCCGCGGUAAUACGUAGGUGGCAAGCGUUGUCCGGAAUUAUUGGGCGUAAAGCGCGCGCAGGCGGUCUUUUAAGUCUGAUGUGAAAGCCCCCGGCUCAACCGGGGAGGGUCAUUGGAAACUGGGGAGCUUGAGUGCAGAAGAGGAGAGUGGAAUUCCACGUGUAGCGGUGAAAUGCGUAGAGAUGUGGAGGAACACCAGUGGCGAAGGCGACUCUCUGGUCUGUAACUGACGCUGAGGCGCGAAAGCGUGGGGAGCGAAC
Molecule: ribosomal RNA, 426 nt
Filed under: uncultured bacterium
Lineage: Bacteria
Description: bacterial SSU rRNA
Rfam family: Bacterial small subunit ribosomal RNA
Source: RNAcentral